CGUGGCUAACUACGUGCCAGCAGCCGCGGUAAUACGUAGGCGGCAAGCGUUAUCCGGAUUUAUUGGGCGUAAAGAGGGCGUAGGCGGUUUUUCAAGUCGAUUGUAAAAUCUCCCGGCUUAACUGGGAGGGGCCAUUCGAUACUGUUAGACUAGAGAGCAGCAGGGGGAGGUGGAAUUCCCGGUGUAGUGGUGAAAUGUGUAGAUAUCGGGAGGAACACCAGUGGCGAAGGCGGCCUCCUAGGCUGUUUCUAACGCUGAGGUCCGAAAGCGUGGGGAGCAAACAGGAUCAGAUGCCCUGGUAGUCCACGCUGUAAUCGAUGGACACUAGGUAUAGGGAGUAUCGACCCUCUCUGUGCCGAAGCUAACGCAUUAAGUGUCCCGCCUGGGGACUACGGCCGCAAGGCUAAAACUCAAAGGAAUUGACGGGGGCCCGCACAAGCAGCGGAGCGUGUGGUUUAAUUCGAUGCAACGCGAAGAACCUUACCAAGGCUUGACAUGUCGGAAGUAGCGACCCGAAAGGGAAGCCACCUGUUAAGUCAGGAACCGUCACAGGUGCUGCAUGGCUGUCGUCAGCUCGUGCCGUGAGGUGUUAGGUUAAGUCCUGUAACGAGCGCAACCCUCGUUGCCAGUUAUUUUCUCUGGCGAGACUGCCCUGUAAAAUGGGGAGGAAGGUGGGGAUGACGUCAAGUCAGCACGGCCCUUAUGCCUUGGGCUACACACACGCUACAAUGGGUGGUACAAUGGGUAGCAAUAGAGCGAUCUGGAGCCAAUCCUGUAAGGCCAUCCUCAGUUCGGAUUGCAGGCUGAAACCCGCCUGCAUGAAGUUGGAGUUGCUAGUAGCCGCAGGUCAGCAUACUGCGGUGAAUACGUUCUCGGGCCUUGUACACACCGCCCGUCACGUCAUGAAAGUUGGCAACACCUGAAGUCGAUGGGCUAACCCCGACUUGUCGGGGAGGCAGUCGCCGAGGGUGGGGUUAAUGAUUGGGACG
This 989-nucleotide ribosomal RNA is filed under the name uncultured bacterium. RNAcentral's name for it is "bacterial SSU rRNA". It matches the Rfam family "Bacterial small subunit ribosomal RNA", at positions 492 to 1482 of the family's 1533-position model. The record is from RNAcentral.